Molecule: ribosomal RNA, 429 nt
Filed under: uncultured bacterium
Lineage: Bacteria
Description: bacterial SSU rRNA
Rfam family: Bacterial small subunit ribosomal RNA
Source: RNAcentral
UGGGGAAUAUUGCACAAUGGGCGCAAGCCUGAUGCAGCCAUGCCGCGUGUAUGAAGAAGGCCUUCGGGUUGUAAAGUACUUUCAGCAGUGAGGAAGGGGAUAUCGUUAAUAGCGGUAUUCUUUGACGUUAGCUGCAGAAGAAGCACCGGCUAACUCCGUGCCAGCAGCCGCGGUAAUACGGAGGGUGCGAGCGUUAAUCGGAAUUACUGGGCGUAAAGCGCAUGCAGGUGGUUUGUUAAGUCAGAUGUGAAAGCCCGGGGCUCAACCUCGGAAUUGCAUUUGAAACUGGCAGGCUAGAGUACUGUAGAGGGGGGUAGAAUUUCAGGUGUAGCGGUGAAAUGCGUAGAGAUCUGAAGGAAUACCGGUGGCGAAGGCGGCCCCCUGGACAGAUACUGACACUCAGAUGCGAAAGCGUGGGGAGCAAACAGG